This 1094-nucleotide long non-coding RNA is filed under the name Junco hyemalis (dark-eyed junco). Its description in RNAcentral is "lncRNA (ENSJHYG00000011656.1)". Lineage: Eukaryota; Metazoa; Chordata; Aves; Passeriformes; Passerellidae. The record is from RNAcentral.
AUGCCUGUUAUUCAGCAACUUCAACAUCCAUCUUGUCAGCAAGCAGGUAAUGGAGUAAUUUUCUCCUUACUCCCUCAUCUUUCACGCAAGCUGAAUGAAUGUAUUUCUUACAGAGUGAAACAGCUCCAUGUGAGAGGCUGCUGCAUCCCUCCCUCCCUGCUGGUACACCCCCGAACGCUCCAGGGCAAGGCACUUCCAGAAAUGUUGGUUCAGAUAUCAUCAGCCAGAAAAGGCAGCAGAUCCCACACAACCAGGGUACCCUAACCACCAGUCUAUUUAAAAUGAGAUUACCAAGCUUGAGGUGAGAAUUUUACCAAAUAAUACAGACUUCCUUUAUUCCCUUGGUGUUAAGUGUCUAGAGCUUCUCAGCCUUACAUAUUUGAAAGUUUUAGUUUAACUGGCCAGUGGAAUACAAACUGAUUUAAUAAGUUUUACACAGCCUCAACUCUAUAUGGCAUUUGUCUUAAAACAAAUGUAAUUUGUCUUUAAAAAUUUGUCUUAAAUUUUUCUUAAAACAAAUUCAUAAAUGAGCACCAUUUCUAUGGGGAGCACCUGGGAUACACUUUUUUCUGGCAAAGUAUGCCUGUCCACUUUUCACAUACCUCACGUAUAAACUGUAGAUUUGCCUUAAAUGGGUUUUAAAAAGGAUAGAUUUUUAAAUGCAAGAACAAAACUCUCAGAAGGAGCUUUAGACUUCAUUUGGUAUUUCCCUUAUUUGUUGCACAACUAAAAUAAUGACAUGAAAUUAUUUAGCAGUCUGUGAUUACUGCAAACAAUGGAAGGAGAUUGUUUAUCUGCUUUUUUCCACAAUGAAAUGUGAAUUCUAUGCAGCUGACUACUCUGAUGUCAAUAGCCAUGAAACCAUUUCUCCCUUACUUUAUUCAAGGAAAAUUUUUCUGCUUAAAAUUUCAGCUUUUCCCCCCCAGUUUAGAAGUAAUAUAUAUAUUUGAUGCAUUUAUAGCCAGUUAACAGUUUUUAAUUCAACAGGAACAAAACCAACAGAAGUAAUUUGCAUGAUAGUUCGUGAUUGCAGCUGUGUCUGAAGAUUCUGCCUCAGUUUCUUUCCUCAUCUCCCUCCUCCCUGUGCCCUGUCU